UAGGGAAUCUUCCGCAAUGGACGCAAGUCUGACGGAGCAACGCCGCGUGAGUGAAGAAGGAUUUCGGUUCGUAAAACUCUGUUGUUAGAGAAGAACAGCGCAUAGAGUAACUGUUAUGCGUGUGACGGUAUCUAACCAGAAAGCCACGGCUAACUACGUGCCAGCAGCCGCGGUAAUACGUAGGUGGCAAGCGUUGUCCGGAUUUAUUGGGCGUAAAGCGAGCGCAGGCGGUCAAUUAAGUCUGAUGUGAAAGCCCCCGGCUCAACCGGGGAGGGUCAUUGGAAACUGGUUGACUUGAGUGCAGAAGAGGAGAGUGGAAUUCCAUGUGUAGCGGUGAAAUGCGUAGAUAUAUGGAGGAACACCAGUGGCGAAGGCGACUCUCUGGUCUGUAACUGACGCUGAGGUUCGAAAGCGUGGGUAGCGAACAGG
This 429-nucleotide ribosomal RNA is filed under the name Bacteroidota bacterium. RNAcentral's name for it is "Bacteroidetes bacterium partial 16S ribosomal RNA". It matches the Rfam family "Bacterial small subunit ribosomal RNA", at positions 355 to 776 of the family's 1533-position model. The record is from RNAcentral. Lineage: Bacteria; Pseudomonadati; Bacteroidota.